Molecule: long non-coding RNA, 677 nt
Filed under: Bos taurus (domestic cattle)
Lineage: Eukaryota; Metazoa; Chordata; Mammalia; Artiodactyla; Bovidae
Description: long non-coding RNA NONBTAT015828
Source: RNAcentral
GGAACUUCCGCCCUGAGGGUGGCUGUUCUCUGCGGACUCUGUGACGGGCAAUGAGUCUUGACUUGUGGGAGAGGCCCUUCCCGCCUGCGGUGCGUUUGCGGGGUUCCUCGUUACUGUGGGCUCCUUGGUCGGCAUUAAGGGCUUGGGCACGGCUUACGGCUUCUCGGCACCGGUUACAGUGGCGUGGGCGCGCCCCGGCACGGGGAGGGUCCAGCUUCGAGUAGAGAAACAGGUUCCCCUGUGCAUCGUAUUCGAACCUCCUCCUCGCAAGGUACGCGCUGGGAGUGACAGUGACGUCCGCCUUGCCCGGCAAGGCGGCGCCGCACGACUCACACCGUGGGGCCUGUUGUUCUGAAGGGACGACGUCUGUGUCCUGAGAGGUGUUUUUUCCAACCGUGUUAGGAGCACCAUGAAAGUGUUAGUCACUCAGUCGUGUCCGACUCUGCCACCCCAUGGACUACCGUAGUUCACCCGACUCCUCUGUCCAAGGAUUCUCCAGGCAAGAAUACUGGAGUUGGUUGCUGUUCCCUUCCCCAGGGCAUCUUCCCGACCCAGGGGUCGAACCUUGGUCUCUUGCAUUGCAAGCAGUUUCUUUACCAACUGAGCCUUCAGGAGCACACGGUAGGACUAAACUAUUUCAGAAACGUUUGGGAAAAAAUAAAAAGUAAAACUUUUUU